UUGCUGGCGACCGGCGCACGGGUGAGUAACACGUAUCCAACCUGCCGAUAACUCGGGGAUAGCCUUUCGAAAGAAAGAUUAAUACCCGAUGGCAUAAUUAGACCGAAUGGUCUUAUUAUUAAAGAAUUUCGGUUAUCGAUGGGGAUGCGUUCCAUUAGGCAGUUGGUGAGGUAACGACUCACCAAACCUUCGAUGGAUAGGGGUUCUGAGAGGAAGGUCCCCCACAUUGGAACUGAGACACGGUCCAA
RNAcentral lists this ribosomal RNA (248 nucleotides) under uncultured bacterium. RNAcentral describes it as "partial 16S ribosomal RNA". It matches the Rfam family "Bacterial small subunit ribosomal RNA", at positions 85 to 334 of the family's 1533-position model. The record is from RNAcentral.